GAAAAUUUGCUCUUUUAGUAUUUGUCUAGAAGGGUCCUGAGGUUUUCUCAGGACUCCAUG
Molecule: small nuclear RNA, 60 nt
Organism: Ictalurus punctatus (channel catfish)
Lineage: Eukaryota; Metazoa; Chordata; Actinopteri; Siluriformes; Ictaluridae
Gene: U7
Rfam family: U7 small nuclear RNA
About the family: Animal histone pre-mRNAs are spliced by a different mechanism than nuclear pre-mRNAs and self-splicing introns.
Source: Ensembl